This is a long non-coding RNA of Armigeres subalbatus, 1000 nucleotides long. RefSeq lists it as uncharacterized. Lineage: Eukaryota; Metazoa; Arthropoda; Insecta; Diptera; Culicidae. The record is from RefSeq and is a predicted model, not a curated record. The transcript has 2 exons.
UCGACACCGUUCGACACACCUGUUCAGAUUAAUUGAAAAUUAUCAUGGCAUCACUGCAUAACACUUGACGUUUGUUUUAUAGUUUAUUUUGAUUGACCUUCGCAUAGCAUUUUCGCAGGCGGUGGAUGGUGGUUGCUGGUUGGUCCCAGGUUGGAAUAAUCUGGUGUUCGAUGGCGCUGAGCUCGAAAGCAGACCGCGUCCGAUCUAACAGAUACUGCUAUUGGGCUGCCACGAGAACUAAUACCACUCCUUUGAUUUAAGCUCAGGGCACAUCUAUGUCAGGAAGCACAAAUGAUAACUUGAAUUCCGGUGCUAAACCGGCUGGUUUCAAAGGAUUAGACCGUGCAGCCGAAAGAGCACCUCAUCCAAAUGCCACAGUGUUACAGAUUGCAACGCAACCGGGGCUCACCUGCCACCACCACCAGAAUCCUCAAACGAUACCCAUCGGAAUUCCCUCGGGAAUUCCCAAACAUUCCCUGUUCCCAUAGGAAUGCCAAAUGAUAAUUAAAGGAAUCCUCGAGCAAAACCUACAGAAAUCCCCCCGCUCAAUGAAAUUCUCUAGCGAUACCGACCGGAUUUCUUAAGCAAUGCCCACAUGAAUUCCUCAUCAAUACCAACAGGAAUCUAAGCGAUUCCCACAGGAAAGCCCGAGCAAUGCCUAUAGUGGUUCCCAAGCGAUGUCCACAGAGUUCCCCCAGUGCUGUCCUCUGGUAUCCCCAAUGCCCACCGAAAUCCCCUAGUAAUGUCCACAGGAAUCUCCAAACAAUGCCGACAGGAAUCCUCAGGCAAUGCCUGCAAUGACUCCCGAGCGAUGUACAUAGUGAUCCACCAAUGAAUCCCACAGGAAACCCCAAUAGGUGCCCACCAGGAGUCCAGCUUUGGGAGAAAAGAAAGAAUCCCCAAGCAAAGUCCAACGAAAUCCCCAACUUCUGUAAUCAUGGUUAUUGCAGGCUACCGAGAUGACGGCUAUAAAUACACAAAAAUACAUUAUUUUAUUGAA